ACCCGGAGUUCAGGCAAGGUUCCC
RNAcentral lists this ribosomal RNA (24 nucleotides) under Muriella sp. N5. RNAcentral describes it as "partial 26S ribosomal RNA". Lineage: Eukaryota; Viridiplantae; Chlorophyta; Trebouxiophyceae; Chlorellales; Chlorellaceae. The record is from RNAcentral.